CCAUCCCAUAGCCUUUUGGCUUGUACUUGCCCCCAUCCAUCAUAUCGGCUACUCUCUUCCUCAGGCCGCUCGAUUCCAUUGCAGGACCGUGCUCUUUUGCUUUGAUUCGGCGAUGUGGAGGGGAUCAAUGGAGCUACUGCAGGGAAGAAGAAGAAGAUCGCAUGGUGAGGCUGCAGAAGCUUCGGCCCGUCAAUUGCGCAUCGGAUGGUCGUGAGAAACCGCCGAUUUCGCAGAUGGCAGAUGAUCCAGAGUGCAACACCGACGGUUUCGCGAUCUCCAGGCGUAGAUCACCUCAGGACGAGUAAUGUAUUCAUGGAGCAGCAGCCAGGGGUAGUGCUCCACCAUGCAUGCAUGACAGCUGAUAUCUUUGACCCGGGCAAGCUCCAUCAAAGGACGUGCAAACCAAUGGGUGAGAAACCUAUCUCUAUGCUACCGCUCCCAAGUCCAGACGGGCACACGCGUUUGGUAAUUAGUAGUUCUAGCUAGCUUAUUACAGCCAUGUGAUUGUGAUGACGCUGCUUAAUUACCUGACUCCAUGGACAUGAAUUACAAAAACGGUUCCUUGAUGCCAGAGAUGGCGGUUCAUCCUUAUUUUUAUUGCCCUUUUUGUAAAUGAAAUCGCUCGGAAAACAAAGUUGAUUCUGAUGAAAAUGCAGACUGAUGCUCUGCUCGUGCGAAACGUGGCAGCAACGAAGGUUCCUGUGACUGAGAAUCCAGGCUCACUGUCAUCUGCUCAUGCGCUGACUUCCUUGGCUGCCAACCCAGUGGACAGAGGGGUAUUUUUUUGAAUUCAAGAGCAUGGAGCCGUUAGGCGACUCGCAAGGCGACCGCCCCACCGCCGGUGAGAGUCGGUAAGGGUGGAGUGGCGGUGAAUAAUACGAAAUAUCCAAUGUUCGAAUUUGAGUCUUGGAGAAAUAUUUUUUUUUCUUCCGAAAAGGGGUUAUCCCCCACGAAAAGCGGAAGCAGCAACCGAGCUCCACAGAGCUCUUUAUUUUUCUUUGAACGAAAAUACUUUUUCACACUUCAAAAAAAUCUGAAAAAAAGUAUACACAUAGACAUAUGUUUGUAGUAUACAUGUGUAAAUUUUCAUAAACAUAUAUGUUAAUAUGUGAUGUAUACAAAAAAGACAAAUACAUGAAGUAAAAUAUGCCUUUUCCUAUUUGUUUUUGGGACUGAUAUUUGUCUUUUUUGUGUAGCAUGCAAAUAGUCAAAUUAGUUGAUGAAAUUUUAUACAUAUUUGAGGAACAUGCAUACGUAUUUAUAGAAAAAGAUUUGGCAUUUUUUGAAACUUUUAAAUAAUUUUGAUUUUUUUUGGUAAAAGGGGCUCCCUGUAGCCCGGUCUCUGCGACGCCUCACUCUUAUCCCCCGGCCUCUGUAUCAAAGAAAUACAUGCAGCCAUCUUAUUAAAAAGCAAAUAGUCCAACAAAGUCAUUAGGUCUCGAAUUACAAAAAGGCUCACAAAGAGCUAACUAUAAGAAAACGGAAUAGUCACAACCGGCGGAAUAAAGAAAGAUAGGAAACUAAACACAUAUCCUAUUACAUGA
This is a long non-coding RNA of Aegilops tauschii subsp. strangulata, 1544 nucleotides long. RefSeq lists it as uncharacterized. The record is from RefSeq and is a predicted model, not a curated record. Lineage: Eukaryota; Viridiplantae; Streptophyta; Magnoliopsida; Poales; Poaceae.